CGCAAGCCUGACGGAGCAAGACCGCGUGGGGGAGGAAAGCCUUUGGGUUGUAAACCGCUUUUCUCAGGGAAGAAGAUCUGACGGUACCAAAGGAAUCAGCCUCGGCUAACUCCGUGCCAGCAGCCGCGGUAAUACGGAGGAGGAAAGCGUUAUCCGGAAUGAUUGGGCGUAAAGCGUCCGCAGGUGGCAAUGUAAGUCUGCUGUCAAAACCCAGGGCUCAACUCUGGUCAGGCAGUGGAAACUACAUAGCUAGAGUUCGGUAGGGGCAAAGGGAAUUCCCGGUGUAGCGGUGAAAUGCGUAGAGAUCGGGAAGAACAUCGGUGGCGAAAGCGCUCUGCUGGGCCGCAACUGACACUGAGGGACGAAAGCUAGGGGAGCG
Molecule: ribosomal RNA, 379 nt
Filed under: uncultured cyanobacterium
Lineage: Bacteria; Bacillati; Cyanobacteriota
Description: bacterial SSU rRNA
Rfam family: Bacterial small subunit ribosomal RNA
Source: RNAcentral